This 96-nucleotide small RNA is filed under the name Lacicoccus alkaliphilus. Its description in RNAcentral is "Salinicoccus alkaliphilus Guanidine-I sequence". It matches the Rfam family "Guanidine-I riboswitch aptamer". Rfam says of the family: This family represents a conserved RNA structure found upstream of the ykkC and yxkD genes in Bacillus subtilis and related genes in other bacteria. The function of this family is unclear although it has been suggested that it may function to switch on efflux pumps and detoxification systems in response to harmful environmental molecules. Nelson showed that this riboswitch senses and responds to guanidine and it was renamed Guanidine-I riboswitch. Lineage: Bacteria; Bacillati; Bacillota; Bacilli; Caryophanales; Salinicoccaceae. The record is from RNAcentral. RNAcentral also lists the same sequence under 1 other name.
GAAAGAGUCCACUAGGGUUCCGCAGCACUGCUGGUCUGGACCGAGAGUGGACCCAUGGAGCAAUCCGUGACACGGAGGGAUAAAAGCCUGGGAGAU